CUCACCAAGUCUGCGAUCUUUAGGGGGCCUGAGAGGGUGAUCCCCCACACUGGUACUGAGACACGGACCAGACUCCUACGGGAGGCAGCAGUGAGGAAUAUUGGACAAUGGGUGCGAGCCUGAUCCAGCCAUCCCGCGUGAAGGACGACGGCCCUAUGGGUUGUAAACUUCUUUUGUAUAGGGAUAAACCUACCCUCGUGAGGGUAGCUGAAGGUACUAUACGAAUAAGCACCGGCUAACUCCGUGCCAGCAGCCGCGGUAAUACGGAGGGUGCAAGCGUUAUCCGGAUUUAUUGGGUUUAAAGGGUCCGUAGGCGGAUCUGUAAGUCAGUGGUGAAAUCUCACAGCUUAACUGUGAAACUGCCAUUGAUACUGCAGGUCUUGAGUGUUGUUGAAGUAGCUGGAAUAAGUAGUGUAGCGUGAAAUGCAUAGAUAUUACUUAGAACACCAAUUGCGAAGGCAGGUUACUAAGCAACAACUGACGCUGAUGGACGAAAGCGUGGGGAGCGAACAGGAUUAGAUACCCUGGUAGUCCACGCCGUAAACGAUGCUAACUCGUUUUUGGAUUUUCGGAUUCAGAGACUAAGCGAAAGUGAUAAGUUAGCCACCUGGGGAGUACGUUCGCAAGAAUGAAACUCAAAGGAAUUGACGGGGGCCCCGCACAAGCGGUGGAUUAUGUGGUUUAAUUCGAUGAUACGCGAGGAACCUUACCAAGGCUUAAAUGGGAAAUGACAGGUUAGAAAUAGACUUUUCUUCGGACAUUUUUCAAGGUGCUGCAUGGUUGUCGUCAGCUCGUGCCGUGAGGUGUUAGGUUAAGUCCUGCAACGAGCGCACCCCUGUCACUAGUUGCCAUCAUUAAGUUGGGGACUCUAGUGAGACUGCUACGCAAGUAGAGAGGAAGGUGGGGAUGACGUCAAAUCAUCACGGCCCUUACGCCUUGGGCCACACACGUAAUACAAUGGCCGGUACAGAGGGCAGCUACACAGCGAUGUGAUGCAAAUCUCGAAAGCCGGUCUCAGUUCGGAUUGGAGUCUGCAACUCGACUCUAUGAAGCUGGAAUCGCUAGUAAUCGCGCAUCAGCCAUGGCGCGGUGAAUACGUUCCCGGGCCUUGUACACACCGCCCGUCAAGCCAUGGAAGUCUGGGGUACCUGAAGUCGGUGACCGUAACAGGAGCUGCCUAGGGUAAAACAGGUAACUAGGGCUAAGUCGUAACAAGGUAGCCGUACCGGAAGGUGCGGCUGGAACAUCUCAUUUU
Molecule: ribosomal RNA, 1255 nt
Filed under: Chryseobacterium sp. 7
Lineage: Bacteria; Pseudomonadati; Bacteroidota; Flavobacteriia; Flavobacteriales; Weeksellaceae
Description: bacterial SSU rRNA
Rfam family: Bacterial small subunit ribosomal RNA
Source: RNAcentral